Long non-coding RNA from Falco peregrinus (peregrine falcon), 6565 nucleotides. RefSeq lists it as uncharacterized. The record is from RefSeq and is a predicted model, not a curated record. Lineage: Eukaryota; Metazoa; Chordata; Aves; Falconiformes; Falconidae. The transcript has 2 exons.
CCUCUCCCUCAGCGGGGCUCCCUCUCCCUCAGCGGGGCUCGGCGCCCCGGGCCGCUGCGUCUGGGGGCGUCCCUCCCCCCCCCAGCCCCCAGGAAAAUGGCGCUCGCCUGCUGUCACCACGGGCUGCCCUCAGCCCUGGCCCUUUCUGCGGUUUGGCGGGAUUUUGGUUGUUUUCUGUUUUGUUGGUUUCGUUUGUUCUGGUUUUUAGGAAAAUAUCCAGCUUUUAUAGUAAGAGAGUGAGCUUAGUGGGCAAAAAAAGAGGAAGGCUAAGGAAGUUGAGCCCCCCAAACGAUGGCACUUCCACCGCAUGCACAUCCCUCUUCCUAUAAUCUUGUUUUUAUGCGCUUUUCACAGUUUUCUGGCUGGGGAGGACAGUAAAUCUGACAUGAUCCCCCAUCAGCACAUGCGGCUGGGGGGUCCAGGCACAGCGCAGACAUUGCUGCUGGGACACCCCGUACCAAAGACAGAUGCCACCUCUCUCGCCUCCCUCUCCGCAAAACCUGAAUUUCCUAAUAGGCUUUGAUAACAUUAACUUGCUUUAAUUUGGCUUCUGCCCUUUCCCGUAGGCGCAGUUCUCGGACACGCCGCAAGCAGCUGGCCCGUGAAGCCUUUUGCUGCUCCAUGCUUUUCUGGGAAGCCGAGGCUGAGCCCCCGCAGCCGCCUCCAGUAAUUUCUACUUUUUCUCCCCGCAACGAAACUGUGCUGUGAACAUCAGCCUGCUAAUUUACACUGCCUAGGAGGUGAAAGGAAACUCCCCCAGAAAAGACAACUCGCCAGCAAUGAUGUUUUUACUUCCCCUUCUGGAAUAUGGAGUAGUAACUGUAAGGGGAAGAGAAUACUCAACUGGGGCAGAGCUGGGGAUUCUAUUCUAAGAGGUAAAGAAAGCAAGAGUGAACACCACUUCUUAACAAAUGCUGUCUACCACCACCUAGUGGAAAACACCACCUCAGGCUCCUUCACCUACAUAAAUUUGUAAUCUUGGGGACAGGCAUGACCUGACUGCAGCGUGUGUGUCCCCUCCACGCUAUAUGGAAAUACAAAUUAGCAAAAACUUUGUUUCUUUCUAAGAACUAUUUCUAAAACUGGACGCCAUACUUCCUGGUCUGUCAUCUGACCUAAAUCCUCAGUUUUGUCAUCUGCAAAAUGGAGGCAGGAAGAAUUUUAUGAAGUUUAAUUAGUGCAAAGUGCUCUUAAUAGCAAAUAGGGCUUUCGGUCCAAGGAUCUCAGACUGCUUUGGUCCAAGUACUCAAAUUACUGAGGCUUCAGUCAGCGAUCCAAGAGGCAGAUGUACUGCUGUGCUUGCUAUAUAGAAAGAUAAAUAGCAGGGGUUGCAAAGUUACAGUUGCCUGAAUUCACAUAAUAAAUCAAUAGGGGAGCAGGAGGAAAAAAUCUGCAUAGUUGCAGAAUUGUUGGAUCCCUGCUGUUCAUUUUACCCCUGGUAGCUUUUGGAGGGAGGAGACCUUCCUUCACCUUUGUAUAUGCAAAGUAUUUUUUUGUAAAUGGAGACCAGAUCCUGGCAGCCAGCACAGUACAAACAAUUCAGAACAGGUUCCUGUGCUUAUAGGGUUGCUCGAACCACAUUGGCCACACUAUUCAUCCAAACAUCAUCUGUGAAUAUAGGGAAGGAAGAGCAACGCUUACAGUAACACUAACUCAACUGGACAGCUUGGGCUUUGGGUGAGCAGCUCAUUUUCUUGAUGCUGUUAUGUCUGGUACCUCAGGGGCUGUACCAAAUAGAUGAGAUUUAACUUGCUGAGUCAGGAGGCCUGCGUUUGGCAGAGGAAGGAGGAGAUAGGUUUAGUCACCUCUCAAGUGUUUGUUCCCAGUCCUCUUUUCAAAAGCACAGCCCCUGAAAUUAGCCAAGGGAGAGUCCUUACGUCUUGGGAAGAGCGGGAGCAGGAUGGGGCCAGGAAACCGGCCUGCAUUUAUCGCCCGUUCUCGGUUUCUGCCAGGUUCUAGCUGCCAAUACUGCUGAAUCGCUGGAGCCACUCACAGCUCCUGACUCUGAGAUGUUGUGGCAGCAGAAAAGGCACUGCAAGAGCCUGUGGCUGACAGCCCCUGACAUUUUUUGCUUUGCGAGUACGCAUUCAGGCUGGCGUUUUGCUUGCAGCUGAAGUUUAUGUUGUCUGGAGAGACGGUCUCCAAGCAGGAGACAUGCUGGGGUUUGCCACCUUGUAUCAAGUUCGUGCGUGGCUCCUGUUCAAAGCUGUGGCAAUAAAUGGCAGCUUCUGUUGACAGAUGUGCACAGGCAGGACCAGAGCAGCUUAUUUCCACUUAAACUACUGCCAAAAGGGUGUGAACACGGCGCACAAAAUCAUUUUUAAGUCCACUAGAGGAAUUUUGUAGCGCAGAAUAGAACAGGUUUUCUCAAGCCGCCUUUGCUGGGAGUUCGAAUGAAGGUCCUUUUCUUUGCAAAGAACAGACAGCAACACCCUUGUGGUUGCUUACCCAUACCUCAGCAGAGAGAUAAACCCUGUUUUAAUCUUUGAUUGCUUGAACCCACUUGCAACCCAUUCUGAAAGAACAUCCACAAUCUGUUCAGAGAGGAAGGAUGGGUUUGGACAUUGUCAUUCCUUUCACCCACUAUCUCCCCAUGACUCAUUUAAUUCUUCAUGUGAGCAUAUAGUAAGAAAACCACACAGUGAUUUCAGGAGGGAUAGAAAAAAGGAUCGCUGCAGAAUCGACCUUCUCUAGCAAGUGGCAAAAGACAAAAGAACCGAGUGUGGGUCUGAGGCACAAGUUAAAGAUCAAAACUGGCAGCACCAUAACAAGCCCUCUACAGAGCUGCUUCUGAAAUGGAGCUGCCUGAAUCGUGCCGGGCCGACACCAGGAAUCAUCGUUCGCACGCAGCUAGAAAAAGAACUCCCUGAGGCAGGAGGGAGAACUGGGCCCAGACCGAAGCUCAGCAGGCAACUCGAGAGCUGGAAAUUGUCUGCGGCAAUACUUUUCCGUUCCUUCUUUCCCUGACAGCUGAACUAACACUUGUCGCAGGAGUGCAAACCAGGCAAUUAUAGCAAGCAUGGAUGCCACAGGGCUGGACAGGCUCGCUAUUUAUAGUUCCUUGCCGAGAGAGCUUUCCUGCUGUGCUGCUGUACACAGGUUAAGGUGCAGUCCAUGCCUUGAAGGGCUCACAGUCUAAAUAAAAAUAGAAAGAAGGAGUAGCAACCUCUUUCAUGAUGAGAGCCGAGACUCAGAGAUGAAAGGAUAAAAAGGAAAUCCACAGCAGAGCCUGGAACAAUGAAAUUCAACUUCUGCCCCCGAAAUUGCCCUUUAUUUUGUUAACUCCUUCCACGCCUGAAGUGCCACCUUCUCUGCUACUCAUAAUUAGUGCCAAACAGUCUCAUACAGUGUCACUGAGGUGUUCUUGCAAGCUCUGGCCUGCCUUGCCGCUGUUCAGUGAUUUAUUUUCCCUACCUACAGCAGAGAUGGGAGAAGGGAUGUGUGCCUGCCCUUCACUCCCUGCUGAGAGCUGGGCCCGUGCCCAGGUGUGGACAGGGUGGGAAGCAAGGGACCAGGACCGCAUCCUGGAGCUAAAGGGAUGACAGACUCCCAGGAGCGGAGCAGGCUGCCAGCUCCAAGCGUUCAGAGUCUCAGCCAACUGCAGAUGCAAGUCAAAGACUCUCCUUUGUUUCAGGGGGAGGAUUAAAACACGAGCUGUUUGCGAGUUGAACUUUGAAGUAUCUUUGUAGCAAUUUGAAAUGCGGUUGCCCAACAAAGAGAAACCUUUACAAAUACAUUUUUUUGUAUUUGAAGUUAGAGACCAUCCACUGGCCUAUUUUAAGGCAUACAUUUGAACUGGCCAUGAAUCCUGCCUCUGUUCUCAUGCACUAAAAGGCAAGAGAGGAUUCACUUGACCUGCACUAUCAAAUACAGAGAAAAUAAGGCAUUUGCCUGGGAAAGAACCACCCAAAAUAGCAGUGAAGAAAUCGUGCUGCGACAUGAGCUGUUAGUGAUGAGAGACAAGAAAAAUGAGUUCUAAGAGCUGGUAGACUUCUUCUAAUGACGUAUUAAUGAAAACUGCUAGAAAAUUAUAUGGUGAUGCUAAUUAGUCUUUCUAGGUUUAAGGACCUGAGAUCUUUCCCUUUUACACUAAAUACUCACAUAAGAGUAGGGAAUAAUCCUUGUUGAGGUGAGUUCUCAGCGUUCUUUAAGGAUUCUUUCUAGAUCCACCUGACAUUUCCUUUGCUGAACACGGCUUUUAGCUCAGAAACCAAUGCUCUUGCCUGAGGAAACCCUCCCCUGGCAGCCGGUUUUUGAUCGAUUGAUUUGACUGCUUGCGUUAAACAUGAUGCAACACGGUAUGACAAAUGCAAGCGAACAUCAGGAUGGAGCGCAACGGAAAUGCUGCAUGCUAUCUGGCAGGUCAGCAGGAGGGGAAGGAAUUACUUGCCUGGUAACAGCACAUGGAAAAGCACAGAGGCAGGGGGUAGGAUUCAUCUGCAAACAUCUCAUGCUCCCUAAACUUUUUACAGCCCUGUCAUGGUUUAACCCCGGCCGGCAACCAAGCCCCACGCAGCUGCUCGCUCACUCCCCCCCACCCAGAGGGAUGGGGAAGAGGAUCGGAAAGGAAUGUAAAACUCAAGGGUUGAGAUAAGAACAAUUUAAUUGGUAUAGCAAAAGCCACACACACAAGCAAAGCAAAGCAAGGAAUUAAUUCCCCACUUCCCAUGGGCAGGCAGGUGUUCGGCCAUCCCCAGGGCAGCAGGGCUCCAUCACGUGUAACAGUUACUCGGGAAGACAAACACCGUAAUGCCAAAUGUCCCCACCUUCCUCCUUCUUCCCCCAGUUCAUAUACUCAGCAUGACGUCCCAUGGUAUGGAAUAGCCCUUUGGCUGGCUUGGGUCACCUGUCCUGGCUGUGUCCCCUCCCAAUUUCCCCUGCCCCUCCAGCCCUCGGGCUGGCAGGGCCCAAGGAACCGAAAAGUCCUUGAUUUAGUAUAAACAUCGCCCAGCAACAGCUGAAACCAUCAGCGUGCCAUCAACAUUGUUCCCACAUCAGAGCCAAAACACAGCACUGUACUAGCUACUAAGAAGAAAAUUAACUCUGUCCCAGCCGAAACCAGGACAAGCCCCUCAUUCGGCUUUGCAAUGUCCUAAAGCAGACAAUUAUGACUAUAUCAAUUUUGUGUCUUUCCCCUCCUUCAAGAAGCUGGAGAAUGAACCCAGAAGAGCUGCCUGUGGAUGUAUUAACUUCCCACUAUCGCAUCAGCGAGACCAUAUGUAUCACGCAUUUCCCACUGACAAGGAAAGAAAGGUUAAAACCUUGCAUGACAGGUUAACAGCAUGAUUUGCAGCAGCGGCUUAAAUAAAUGGUCGCAGGCACGAAAGACUAGCAGGCAGCUAAUCCUUUAAAGAUUUAAGAGCAGCUACUACUUCAGUCCAAGUAAAUAUUUCAAAAUAAAAUUAAUUAAUGGUGACUAGUGGAUUUUUUUCUGCUUCGUUUUAACAGCCCAGGCUGAAAUGGCGAUGCCGCCACGGAACUUGCACUUUCAGUGCCAAAACUGUUAUUUCAUAGAGGCAAGAAAGAGUCCUCCCAAAGAAGAUUUGUUGCAGUUUUGUUCCUUACUGUAACCGCAGCAGAACUGGAAAAGCUCUGUACGAAUCUCGCGGGUCGGUGUUAGUGUCAGAGAGGCAAGCGCCAAGAGCAACCUUUAUGCUGCCCCAGAGAUGCAGGACAACAUCAUGGCUCGGUGUCCAACAGAAGCACAAUGCAGAGGAAGGAAGCGUUCGCUUCCUGAUUCUUGUCAUAAGUAAGCUCUGUCCAUGCGGGCCACAAAAAAAGACCUCCUCAUAACUGUCUUCCUUCCGAUUAAAAGAACUUUCUUAACACCUUCCUAGACACAGGUGAAAGCAUGGAAGGAAAGGCUCUCAAGGUAACAAGUACCUAACCAGCACACACAAAGUCUGCCCGAGCCCGGAGAAACAAAGCAGUCAAUGAAAUGAUUUGGAAACAACAAUUUCUACUCCUCAAUUAAACUUUUUUUUUCCCCAGUAUUCCCCAAUAUCCCUCCCUCCCCCCCCCCGACCUUUGGCUCCAUCUCAGAACAAAGGCAGUUCUCUUGGGAGGGAGGAAUCUGUCAUGGCCCACUGAACUGUCUGGACUAUUUUUAGUUAAAUCCAGCAUUCCUAAAAACAUCGAGCUGCUUGUGUGUUAAGGAAGGAGAAGGGAAACGCCGUGAGCGCGCACAUCCACAUUUCACACGGGGAGCGCAGAACACGGCAUGCCAUCUGCCUUGCAGCACGACAGUGUAGCUGGGCUGAACGCAGAGCUCUGGGAAAAAGGCAAAGAACAUUUCACCGGGUAGAGAAGGCAGAAAACCAAGGCAGGAUUGCCGACUUCCCCGAGCUGGAAGAGGCAAACCAAAGGUCUCUGCUCGCAGCUGGGAGGCCAGGGAGAUGCAAGGGCUGGGCGAUUUGCACUUACCUGCUAAACUGAUGAGCUGCAGUUCCAGGGUUCAGCGAUGAGGAGAGUGCCAAGUGGAGAGGCAGGAUCAGCCAAGUAGUCCUGGAGGUGCUUUGCAGGUUGAGAUCUUGCUGGCACGAGCAGGACAAACACCCCAAGGGAA